AGUCAACAUCUUUAUCUGAUCCUUGUUGAAUGUGAACUUGCUCUGGAAAAAGCAAACAAGGAUGUGGAAGUUCAAGUUGACAACUGGCUUCAGACGUAGGAAUCCCCCAGAGAAGCCCCACACAGGGGAUGGCACAGAAGGCCCUUGCCAGAUGCAAGCCUCUUGACCUUGGGCUCUUCAGCCUCCAAAGGUGACUUGGACCUUGUCCCCAUUCAAGAAGUUGAGGGCGUGACUUCAGAUGUAGGUGUGUCACCCAUGGGGUCGAGCUGUGCU
This is a non-coding RNA of Urocitellus parryii (Arctic ground squirrel), 273 nucleotides long. Lineage: Eukaryota; Metazoa; Chordata; Mammalia; Rodentia; Sciuridae. The record is from RefSeq and is a predicted model, not a curated record.